UACAGAGGUCUCAAGCGUUGUUCGGAUUCAUUGGGCGUAAAGGGUGCGUAGGUGGCGCGCUAAGUCAGGUGUGAAAUUUCGGAGCUUAACUCCGAAACUGCAUUUGAUACUGGCGUGCUUGAGGACUGGAGAGGAGACUGGAAUUCACGGUGUAGCAGUGAAAUGCGUAGAUAUCGUAAGGAAGACCAGUGGCGAAGGCGGGUCUCUGGACAGUUCCUGACGCUGAGGCACGAAGGCCAGGGGAGCAAACGGG
Molecule: ribosomal RNA, 253 nt
Filed under: uncultured bacterium
Lineage: Bacteria
Description: partial 16S ribosomal RNA
Rfam family: Bacterial small subunit ribosomal RNA
Source: RNAcentral